This 492-nucleotide ribosomal RNA is filed under the name uncultured bacterium. RNAcentral's name for it is "bacterial SSU rRNA". It matches the Rfam family "Bacterial small subunit ribosomal RNA", at positions 501 to 992 of the family's 1533-position model. The record is from RNAcentral.
CUACGUGCCAGCAGCCGCGGUAAUACGGAGGGUGCAAGCGUUAAUCGGAAUUACUGGGCGUAAAGCGCACGCAGGCGGUCUGUCAAGUCGGAUGUGAAAUCCCCGGGCUCAACCUGGGAACUGCAUUCGAAACUGGCAGGCUAGAGUCUUGUAGAGGGGGGUAGAAUUCCAGGUGUAGCGGUGAAAUGCGUAGAGAUCUGGAGGAAUACCGGUGGCGAAGGCGGCCCCCUGGACAAAGACUGACGCUCAGGUGCGAAAGUGUGGGGAGCAAACAGGAUUAGAUACCCUGGUAGUCCACGCCGUAAACGAUGUCGACUUGGAGGUUGUGCCCUUGAGGCGUGGCUUCCGGAGCUAACGCGUUAAGUCGACCGCCUGGGGAGUACGGCCGCAAGGUUAAAACUCAAAUGAAUUGACGGGGGCCCGCACAAGCGGUGGAGCAUGUGGUUUAAUUCGAUGCAACGCGAAGAACCUUACCUACUCUUGACAUCCAGA